RNA transcript from Capsicum annuum, 789 nucleotides. RefSeq lists it as uncharacterized. Lineage: Eukaryota; Viridiplantae; Streptophyta; Magnoliopsida; Solanales; Solanaceae. The record is from RefSeq and is a predicted model, not a curated record. The transcript has 4 exons.
CAGUCAAGUUCUCAACAGCCUCACCUCUCUUGAAUCCCUGCAGACUUUUAAUUUACUUCAAGUUCUGUCACUUCUGGAAGAAGGGCUUCCCUCCUCUCUUUCUGAGCUAUGUUUAUGUGACCAUGAUGAGCUCCAUUCACUACCGACCGAAGGUCUUCAGCACCUCACUUCGCUUCAAAGUCUAUUAAUCAGCAAUUGCCCUCAACUCCAAUCUCUUGCAGAAUCAGUGUUUCCCUCCUCCCUCUCUAAGCUGAUCAUCGAGAAUUGCCCUAAUCUCCGAUCACUUCCCGAAUCGGUGCUUCCCUCCUCCCUCUCUGAGCUGACCAUCGAGAAUUUCCCUAUUCUCCGAUCCCAUCCAGUAAAAGGGAUGCCCUCCUGCCUCUCUAAACUAUCUAUUUACAACUGCCCAUUGCUCAAACCACUCCUAGAAUUUGACAAGGGGGAGUACUGGCCAAAAAUUGCUCAUAUUCCUGAAAUAUAUAUCGGUGUCUCAAUACUUGACCAUGAAUGCCUGUGAUGAUUAAUAAAAAGAAGCUCCCACACAUAGUUGUUCAAUCAAUUUGCAGAACCACGAAGAAGUGCACAAAUGCUUGAAGAAUGAAAUCUCUAUUUCACAAUCAGAACCAUCAGACUGACCUCUUCCAUGUAUGAACUAUGUACUUCCAACUGCCUGUUGCUCGAACCAUGUCUAGAAUUUGAGAAAGGGGAUUACUUGUCAUAAAGUGCAGUGUCUCCAAUAGAAUAUCCAAGUAUUUUGGUAACACUAUGCCUUAGCUCAAUUGGUGAAAG